RNAcentral lists this ribosomal RNA (301 nucleotides) under uncultured bacterium. Its description in RNAcentral is "partial 16S ribosomal RNA". It matches the Rfam family "Bacterial small subunit ribosomal RNA", at positions 509 to 807 of the family's 1533-position model. The record is from RNAcentral.
CAGCAGCCGCGGUAAUACGUAGGGCGCAAGCGUUAUCCGGAAUUAUUGGGCGUAAAGAGCUCGUAGGCGGUUUGUCGCGUCUGCCGUGAAAGUCCGGGGCUCAACCCCGGAUCUGCGGUGGGUACGGGCAGACUAGAGUGAUGUAGGGGAGACUGGAAUUCCUGGUGUAGCGGUGAAAUGCGCAGAUAUCAGGAGGAACACCGAUGGCGAAGGCAGGUCUCUGGGCAUUAACUGACGCUGAGGCACGAAAGCGUGGGGAGCAAACAGGAUUAGAUACCCCUGUAGUCCCUGUCUCUUAUAC